This 416-nucleotide transfer RNA is filed under the name Zygophyllum madecassum. Its description in RNAcentral is "partial tRNA-Leu". The stretch from base 1 to 158 matches the Rfam family "Group I catalytic intron", at positions 31 to 157 of the family's 253-position model. The record is from RNAcentral. Lineage: Eukaryota; Viridiplantae; Streptophyta; Magnoliopsida; Zygophyllales; Zygophyllaceae.
AUGGAAACAUACUAAGUGAUCAGCUUUCAAUUCAAGAAANCCCUGGAAUUAGAAAUGGGCAAUCCUGAGCCAAAUCCUGUUUUCUUNAANAAAANAAGGAAUUCAAUCNAAAGAAAAAGAAUCAANAAGAGGAUAGGUGCGGAGACUCAAUGGAAGCUGWKCUAAAAAAUGGAGUUGACUGCUGCAUUAUGYUAGUCAAGUCAAGGAAUCCUUGCAUCAAAACUUUCAAAAAGAUGAAGGAUAAACUUYCUUUCUAUAAAACUCUAAAAAGAAAAAUACUUUUUCAAUCAAUUGGAAGUKGAAUAAAGAAUCAAAUAUGAUUUGAUCAAAUCAUUUACUCCAAAGUCUGAUAUAUCUUUUUCAAAAUGGAUUAGUCAGAUGAGAAUAAAGAUAGAGUCCCAUUCUAUAUGUCAGUA